ACUAAGCGUACACGGUGGAUGCCCUGGCAGUCAGAGGCGAUGAAGGACGUGCUAAUCUGCGAUAAGCGUCGGUAAGGUGAUAUGAACCGUUAUAACCGGCGAUUUCCGAAUGGGGAAACCCAGUGUGUUUCGACACACUAUCAUUAACUGAAUCCAUAGGUUAAUGAGGCGAACCGGGGGAACUGAAACAUCUAAGUACCCCGAGGAAAAGAAAUCAACCGAGAUUCCCCCAGUAGCGGCGAGCGAACGGGGAGCAGCCCAGAGCCUGAAUCAGUAUGUGUGUUAGUGGAAGCGUCUGGAAAGGCGCGCGAUACAGGGUGACAGCCCCGUACACAAAAAUGCACAUAUUGUGAGCUCGAUGAGUAGGGCGGGACACGUGGUAUCCUGUCUGAAUAUGGGGGGACCAUCCUCCAAGGCUAAAUACUCCUGACUGACCGAUAGUGAACCAGUACCGUGAGGGAAAGGCGAAAAGAACCCCGGCGAGGGGAGUGAAAAAGAACCUGAAACCGUGUACGUACAAGCAGUGGGAGCACGCUUAGGCGUGUGACUGCGUACCUUUUGUAUAAUGGGUCAGCGACUUAUAUUCUGUAGCAAGGUUAACCGAAUAGGGGAGCCGAAGGGAAACCGAGUCUUAACUGGGCGUUAAGUUGCAGGGUAUAGACCCGAAACCCGGUGAUCUAGCCAUGGGCAGGUUGAAGGUUGGGUAACACUAACUGGAGGACCGAACCGACUAAUGUUGAAAAAUUAGCGGAUGACUUGUGGCUGGGGGUGAAAGGCCAAUCAAACCGGGAGAUAGCUGGUUCUCCCCGAAAGCUAUUUAGGUAGCGCCUCGUGAAUUCAUCUCCGGGGGUAGAGCACUGUUUCGGCAAGGGGGUCAUCCCGACUUACCAACCCGAUGCAAACUGCGAAUACCGGAGAAUGUUAUCACGGGAGACACACGGCGGGUGCUAACGUCCGUCGUGAAGAGGGAAACAACCCAGACCGCCAGCUAAGGUCCCAAAGUCAUGGUUAAGUGGGAAACGAUGUGGGAAGGCCCAGACAGCCAGGAUGUUGGCUUAGAAGCAGCCAUCAUUUAAAGAAAGCGUAAUAGCUCACUGGUCGAGUCGGCCUGCGCGGAAGAUGUAACGGGGCUAAACCAUGCACCGAAGCUGCGGCAGCGACACUAUGUGUUGUUGGGUAGGGGAGCGUUCUGUAAGCCUGUGAAGGUGUGCUGUGAGGCAUGCUGGAGGUAUCAGAAGUGCGAAUGCUGACAUAAGUAACGAUAAAGCGGGUGAAAAGCCCGCUCGCCGGAAGACCAAGGGUUCCUGUCCAACGUUAAUCGGGGCAGGGUGAGUCGACCCCUAAGGCGAGGCCGAAAGGCGUAGUCGAUGGGAAACAGGUUAAUAUUCCUGUACUUGGUGUUACUGCGAAGGGGGGACGGAGAAGGCUAUGUUGGCCGGGCGACGGUUGUCCCGGUUUAAGCGUGUAGGCUGGUUUUCCAGGCAAAUCCGGAAAAUCAAGGCUGAGGCGUGAUGACGAGGCACUACGGUGCUGAAGCAACAAAUGCCCUGCUUCCAGGAAAAGCCUCUAAGCAUCAGGUAACAUCAAAUCGUACCCCAAACCGACACAGGUGGUCAGGUAGAGAAUACCAAGGCGCUUGAGAGAACUCGGGUGAAGGAACUAGGCAAAAUGGUGCCGUAACUUCGGGAGAAGGCACGCUGAUAUGUAGGUGAAGUCCCUCGCGGAUGGAGCUGAAAUCAGUCGAAGAUACCAGCUGGCUGCAACUGUUUAUUAAAAACACAGCACUGUGCAAACACGAAAGUGGACGUAUACGGUGUGACGCCUGCCCGGUGCCGGAAGGUUAAUUGAUGGGGUUAGCCGCAAGGCGAAGCUCUUGAUCGAAGCCCCGGUAAACGGCGGCCGUAACUAUAACGGUCCUAAGGUAGCGAAAUUCCUUGUCGGGUAAGUUCCGACCUGCACGAAUGGCGUAAUGAUGGCCAGGCUGUCUCCACCCGAGACUCAGUGAAAUUGAACUCGCUGUGAAGAUGCAGUGUACCCGCGGCAAGACGGAAAGACCCCGUGAACCUUUACUAUAGCUUGACACUGAACAUUGAGCCUUGAUGUGUAGGAUAGGUGGGAGGCUUUGAAGUGUGGACGCCAGUCUGCAUGGAGCCGACCUUGAAAUACCACCCUUUAAUGUUUGAUGUUCUAACGUUGACCCGUAAUCCGGGUUGCGGACAGUGUCUGGUGGGUAGUUUGACUGGGGCGGUCUCCUCCUAAAGAGUAACGGAGGAGCACGAAGGUUGGCUAAUCCUGGUCGGACAUCAGGAGGUUAGUGCAAUGGCAUAAGCCAGCUUGACUGCGAGCGUGACGGCGCGAGCAGGUGCGAAAGCAGGUCAUAGUGAUCCGGUGGUUCUGAAUGGAAGGGCCAUCGCUCAACGGAUAAAAGGUACUCCGGGGAUAACAGGCUGAUACCGCCCAAGAGUUCAUAUCGACGGCGGUGUUUGGCACCUCGAUGUCGGCUCAUCACAUCCUGGGGCUGAAGUAGGUCCCAAGGGUAUGGCUGUUCGCCAUUUAAAGUGGUACGCGAGCUGGGUUUAGAACGUCGUGAGACAGUUCGGUCCCUAUCUGCCGUGGGCGCUGGAGAACUGAGGGGGGCUGCUCCUAGUACGAGAGGACCGGAGUGGACGCAUCACUGGUGUUCGGGUUGUCAUGCCAAUGGCACUGCCCGGUAGCUAAAUGCGGAAGAGAUAAGUGCUGAAAGCAUCUAAGCACGAAACUUGCCCCGAGAUGAGUUCUCCCUGACUCCUUGAGAGUCCUGAAGGAACGUUGAAGACGACGACGUUGAUAGGCCGGGUGUGUAAGCGCAGCGAUGCGUUGAGCUAACCGGUACUAAUGAACCGUGAGGCUUAACC
This 2894-nucleotide ribosomal RNA is filed under the name Escherichia coli. RNAcentral's name for it is "bacterial LSU rRNA". It matches the Rfam family "Bacterial large subunit ribosomal RNA". Lineage: Bacteria; Pseudomonadati; Pseudomonadota; Gammaproteobacteria; Enterobacterales; Enterobacteriaceae. The record is from RNAcentral.